AGAGUUUGAUCCUGGCUCAGAUUGAACGCUGGCGGCAUGCCUUACACAUGCAAGUCGAACGGCAGCACGGGAGCAAUCCUGGUGGCGAGUGGCGAACGGGUGAGUAAUAUAUCGGAACGUGCCCAGUCGUGGGGGAUAACGUAGAGAAAUUUACGCUAAUACCGCAUACGAUCUAAGGAUGAAAGCGGGGGACUCGCAAGGGCCUCGCGCGAUUGGAGCGGCUGAUAUCAGAUUAGGUUGUUGGUGAGGUAAAAGCUCACCAAGCCGACGAUCUGUAGCUGGUUUGAGAGAACGACCAGCCACACUGGGACUGAGACACGGCCCAGACUCCUACGGGAGGCAGCAGUGGUUUUUUUUGUUCAAUGGGCGAAAGCCUGAUCCAGCAAUGCCGCGUGCAGGAAGAAGGCCUUCGGGUUGUAAAC
This 422-nucleotide ribosomal RNA is filed under the name uncultured bacterium. RNAcentral describes it as "bacterial SSU rRNA". It matches the Rfam family "Bacterial small subunit ribosomal RNA", at positions 8 to 430 of the family's 1533-position model. The record is from RNAcentral.